Molecule: ribosomal RNA, 497 nt
Filed under: uncultured bacterium
Lineage: Bacteria
Description: partial 16S ribosomal RNA
Rfam family: Bacterial small subunit ribosomal RNA
Source: RNAcentral
GAUGAACGCUGGCGGCGUGCCUAAUACAUGCAAGUCGAGCGAACAGACGAGGAGCUUGCUCCUUUGACGUUAGCGGCGGACGGGUGAGUCACGCGUGGGUAACCUACCUAUAAGACUGGGAUAACUUCGGGAAACCGGAGCUAAUACCGGAUAAUAUUUCGAACCGCAUGGUUCGAUAGUGAAAGAUGGCUCUGCUAUCACUUAUAGAUGGACCUGCGCCGUAUUAGCUAGUUGGUAAGGUAACGGCUUACCAAGGCAACGAUACGUAGCCGACCUGAGAGGGUGAUCGGCCACACUGGAACUGAGACACGGUCCAGACUCCUACGGGAGGCAGCAGUAGGGAAUCUUCCGCAAUGGGCGAAAGCCUGACGGAGCAACGCCGCGUGAGUGAUGAAGGUCUUCGGAUCGUAAAACUCUGUUAUUAGGGAAGAACAAACGUGUAAGUAACUGUGCACGUCUUGACGGUACCUAAUCAGAAAGCCACGGCUAACUACGUG